Long non-coding RNA from Micropterus salmoides (largemouth bass), 1727 nucleotides. RefSeq lists it as uncharacterized. The transcript is spliced from 2 exons. Lineage: Eukaryota; Metazoa; Chordata; Actinopteri; Centrarchiformes; Centrarchidae. The record is from RefSeq and is a predicted model, not a curated record.
UAGAAUUUAGCUUUGUGUGAAACCGAUCAAUGAACUACAUCUCUCGUCUCACACAAUAGACGUCACCAACAUGUUAGCGCUGUAAUGCUAAGCUAAUGUUUGUAACUUAGCUAUUUCAACUGAUGUGUUUAAUCCAGCUUGUCCUUUUAUGACAUCAUCUACACAUGGAAGCUCUUUGACGUUAGCUUCAUCCAUUCAGAGAAACAGUUAUGAUGUCACACGCGCAGCUUUUGGGUUUGUGGUCUUUUCAAUGUCUUAUACUUUCUUUACUUUCAAAGUUUUGACUUAAAUUGACAAACAUCACGUGUGUAAUUCAGGGCACAAUUCAAACGGGAUAAAAACAUUUGUUGGGGAGGGACUUCGGCUCUCUAUUCCAUAUAUUUCUGGAACCCAUUGGUUUAGAAAUAGAAAUAAAAGUUCAAAAUCAAAUCAAUCAGUCAAAAUAAGUUAAAUAUUUUGUAGUGAUCCAGCAAAAAAGGAACUUUUAGUCGCCAGUUAUUUCAGUAUCAGCGCGGGACAAUACAGAUAAAGAACAGACUCUUUGACCUCACCUUGGUGCCAGUUCACUAAAGUCACCAGCCUUUGCUGAGUGUCUUCUUCUUCUUCUUCUCUUCUUUUCAGGACUUUAACGGUGUAUAUACAGAUCAGAAAAUGAUGAGUUUUGGACAAAUCUUAUCCAAACAUGAAAAUGAAACUUGAGUGAGAGCACGACAACAUAGGAAUAUAUUAUGAUACGAAGUAUGACAGCCUCCUUUGAUACUCGGCCAUCAUCCUUUCAGAGGAAAAAUCCAGAUUUCUGGGGGUCUUGCAGGGCGGAAAGUCCGUCUGUGCAGGAGACAGGGAUGUCGCCCGCUGCCACUCCAUUCCCAUUGGGCAUCAGACACGUCCUGAUGUACGCUGUGUUGGUAGCACUGAAGAGGCAUCCGUUCUCCAGCUGAAAAGCAAAGUAGUCACAUUUUAAGGACUACACUGGUGUGAUCUUAUUUAUUUAAGGACAGGCCGGGGGAUCAACCCGCUCCACCUCCUGAGUCACAGGCGCCCCUGUCUGUGCAGUCUCUCAUGCACAUAUGUUGUUUCAAAAGGUCUGCGGGUGAUAUUUAAGAUUAGCCUAGCAUGCUCUUACCUUACCCUGGAUAGCAUUAGUCAUUCAAAGUGUUUAUGUGUAAUUAGUCAUGUUUACAGUGUCUUUCUCUUCUUGCACAGUCACUGACUCAAAGACCUCUCGGGUUCUGCCUCAGUCUUGUAUCUUGCUAGCGAAGCUUUUAGUAUCUUUGACUGCUACAUGCCAAAUCCAGUACAAUAAUAGCUGGACAGAAGUCUGUUUGCAUGUUUAAAAUCUACUUUCUUUGUGUGUUUUUAUGUAACUUUUUAUUGGUAUGUAAAUAUAUCUGGUUUUAUUUUUGUGCAUUACCACAUCUCAGAUCUAUUAUAUAUUAUUUUUAUAUUUAUGUAAAUAUAAAUCCUCUCCCCCGUAAUAUGUUUGUGCAACACAAAUCCUGAGUAAUGUAAAUAACUAUAAUUAAUAAUUUUUCUUUUACACAUAAUUCUGUAAUUUCUUUGAUAACUUGCAUCUGUUUUUAUUCCAUAUUAAUAUACUUUUAAAUAUAUUUAUGUCAACUGUAUGUUUAUGUCUAGCACUUAAUCGCUAUAGCAAAUUCCUUGUAUGUGUAAAAUACUAGCAAUGAAGUUAUUUCUGAUUCUGAUUUAAUUACACUGUUUUAACACUU